RNAcentral lists this ribosomal RNA (266 nucleotides) under uncultured bacterium. RNAcentral's name for it is "partial 16S ribosomal RNA". It matches the Rfam family "Bacterial small subunit ribosomal RNA", at positions 793 to 1055 of the family's 1533-position model. The record is from RNAcentral.
GUCCUAGCCCUAAACGAUGCUCAUUAGAUGUGGGAGGUAUCGACCCCUUCCGCGUCGCAACUAACGCAUUAAAUGAGCCGCCUGGGGAGUACGGCCGCAAGGUUGAAACUCAAAGGAAUUGACGGGGCCCGCACAAGCGGUGGAACAUGUGGUUUAAUUCGACGCAACGCGAAGAACCUUACCUGGGCUUGAACUACUCGUGGUAGCCCGCUGGAAACAGUGGGCGACCCGCAAGGGAGCGAGCAGAGGUGCUGCAUGGUUGUCGU